AAUUAUAACUUUGAAACUAAAGAAAGUCAUAGUUUGUCCUAGGUUUGGCGCAGUACCACAUCAUUUUGUGUGAAACCGCUCAGUGCACUACAUCUCUCGUCUUGCACAAUAUACGUCACCUUGCUUGCUAGCUAGCUAGCUAGCUAGCUUAGCUCUGUGCCACAACACAUGUAACGUUAUCUUACCUGACGUGUUUUAUCCAGUGAAAUGUUUUCAGCCGAUAAGCAAAAGAACAA
This is a long non-coding RNA of Etheostoma spectabile (orangethroat darter), 236 nucleotides long. RefSeq lists it as uncharacterized. NCBI's taxonomy places the organism in Eukaryota, Metazoa, Chordata, Actinopteri, Perciformes, Percidae. The transcript is spliced from 3 exons. The record is from RefSeq and is a predicted model, not a curated record.